CCUACGGGAGGCAGCAGUGGGGAAUAUUGGGCAAUGGGCGCAAGCCUGACCCAGCAACGCCGCGUGAAGGAAGAAGGCUUUCGGGUUGUAAACUUCUUUUGUCAGGGAAGAGUAGAAGACGGUCCCUGCCGAAUAAGCCACGGCUAACUACGUGCCAGCCGCCGCGGUUAUACGUAGGUGGCACGUGUUGUCCGGAUGUACUGGGUGUACAGGGCGUGUAGCCGGGUUGACAAGGCAGAUGUGAAAGCCUGCGGGUCAACCUCAGAACUGCAGUUGAAACUGGGGAUCUUGAGUACUGGAGAGGCAUACGGAAUUCCUGGUGUAGCGGUGAAAUGCGUAGAUAUUAGGAGGAACACCAGUGGCGAAGGCGGUCUGCUGGGCAGCAACUGACGGUGAGGCGCGAAAGCGUGGGGAGCAAACAGGAUUAGAUACCCGUGUAGUC
This 442-nucleotide ribosomal RNA is filed under the name uncultured bacterium. Its description in RNAcentral is "partial 16S ribosomal RNA". It matches the Rfam family "Bacterial small subunit ribosomal RNA", at positions 338 to 795 of the family's 1533-position model. The record is from RNAcentral.